AUUCAGGCCAACACAUGCAAGUCGAGCGGGGAAGGGAGCUUGCUCCUGGAUUCAGCGGCGGACGGGGGAGUAAUGCCUAGGAAUCUGCCUGGUAGUGGGGGAGAACGUCCGGAAACGGGCGCUAAUACCGCAUACGUCCUGAGGGAGAAAGUGGGGGAUCUUCGGACCUCACGCUAUCAGAUGAGCCUAGGUCGGAUUAGCAGUUGGUGGGGUAAAGGCCUACCAAGGCGACGAUCCGUAACUGGUCUGAGAGGAAGAUCAGUCACACUGGAACUGAGACACGGUCCAGACUCCUACGGGAGGCAGCAGUGGGGAAUAUUGGACAAUGGGCGAAAGCCUGAUCCAGCCAUGCCGCGUGUGGAAGAAGGUCUUCGGAUUGUAAAGCACUUUAAGUUGGGAGGAAGGGCAGUAAGUAAUACCUUGCUGUUUCUGACGUUACCAACAGAAAAGCACCGGCUAACUUCGUGCCAGCAGCCGCGGAAUACGAAGGGUGCAAGCGUUAAUCGGAAUUACUGGGCGAAAGCGCGCGUAGGUGGUUCAGCAAGUUGGAUGGGAAAUCCCCGGGCUCAACCUGGGAACUGCAUCCAAAACUACAGAGCAGAGUACGGUAGAGGGUGGUGGAAUUUCCUGUGUAGCGGUGAAAUGCGUAGAUAUAGGAAGGAACACCAGUGGCGAAGGCGACCACCUGGACUGAUACUGACACUGAGGUGCGAAAGCGUGGGGAGCAAACAGGAUAAGAUACCCUGGAAGUCCACGCCGAAACGAUGUCGACUAGCCGUUGGGAUCCUUGAGAUCUUAGUGGCG
RNAcentral lists this ribosomal RNA (804 nucleotides) under Pseudomonas aeruginosa. RNAcentral's name for it is "bacterial SSU rRNA". It matches the Rfam family "Bacterial small subunit ribosomal RNA", at positions 40 to 848 of the family's 1533-position model. Lineage: Bacteria; Pseudomonadati; Pseudomonadota; Gammaproteobacteria; Pseudomonadales; Pseudomonadaceae. The record is from RNAcentral.